This 211-nucleotide long non-coding RNA is filed under the name Phoenix dactylifera (date palm). RNAcentral describes it as "long non-coding RNA (PDAC_LNC010246)". The record is from RNAcentral. Lineage: Eukaryota; Viridiplantae; Streptophyta; Magnoliopsida; Arecales; Arecaceae.
GAUUUUAUCUGUGGAUUUGAUUUGGCUUGGUUGGGAAGAUGGGAAUUGAACCGUUUGAAACAGGGGAAUUAAUCCUAUUUGGCUGGGAAAAGGCCAAUGACUAGAAUUCUCUGAGAUCUGUGCAACUAUAGAUGAAUAGAUGAUAUACUUUGAGAUCUGAGAAAUAAAUGAUUGAAAAGUGUGGGAAGAGAAGUAGGUGAAAUUGUGAAGA